Molecule: non-coding RNA, 73 nt
Organism: Microcebus murinus (gray mouse lemur)
Lineage: Eukaryota; Metazoa; Chordata; Mammalia; Primates; Cheirogaleidae
Source: Ensembl
AGAGUGUAGUGUAUAUUGGUUGCACGGUGGAUUUUGAAUCCUUAAGAAUAGGUUCAAUGCCUAUUACUCUAGA